This 484-nucleotide ribosomal RNA is filed under the name uncultured bacterium. Its description in RNAcentral is "partial 16S ribosomal RNA". It matches the Rfam family "Bacterial small subunit ribosomal RNA", at positions 29 to 507 of the family's 1533-position model. The record is from RNAcentral.
AUUGAACGCUGGCGGCAUGCUUUACACAUGCAAGUCGAACGGCCGCGCGGGCUUCGGCCUGGCGGCGAGUGGCGAACGGGUGAGUAAUGCAUCGGAACGUUCCCAGUAGUGGGGGAUAGCCCGGCGAAAGCCGGAUUAAUACCGCAUACGACCUGAGGGUGAAAGCGGGGGACCGAAAGGCCUCGCGCUAUUGGAGCGGCCGAUGUCGGAUUAGCUAGUUGGUGGGGUAAAGGCUUACCAAGGCGACGAUCCGUAGCUGGUCCGAGAGGACGACCAGCCACACGGGGACUGAGAAACGGCCCAGACUCCUACGGGAGGCAGCAGUGGGGAAUUUUGGACAAUGGGGGCAACCCUGAUCCAGCCAUGCCGCGUGAGGGAAGAAGGCCUUCGGGUUGUAAACCGCUUUUGUUCGGGAAGAAAUCCUCUGGGCUAAUACCCCGGGGGGAUGACGGUACCGGAAGAAUAAGCACCGGCUAACUACGUG